UGGGGAAUAUUGGACAAUGAGCGAAAGCCUGAUCCAGCCAUGCCGCGUGUGUGAAGAAGGUCUUCGGAUUGUAAAGCACUUUAAGUUGGGAGGAAGGGCAUUAACCUAAUACGUUAGUGUUUUGACGUUACCGACAGAAUAAGCACCGGCUAACUCUGUGCCAGCAGCCGCGGUAAUACAGAGGGUGCAAGCGUUAAUCGGAAUUACUGGGCGUAAAGCGCGCGUAGGUGGUUUGUUAAGUUGGAUGUGAAAUCCCCGGGCUCAACCUGGGAACUGCAUUCAAAACUGACUGACUAGAGUAUGGUAGAGGGUGGUGGAAUUUCCUGUGUAGCGGUGAAAUGCGUAGAUAUAGGAAGGAACACCAGUGGCGAAGGCGACCACCUGGACUAAUACUGACACUGAGGUGCGAAAGCGUGGGGAGCAAACA
Molecule: ribosomal RNA, 427 nt
Filed under: uncultured bacterium
Lineage: Bacteria
Description: partial 16S ribosomal RNA
Rfam family: Bacterial small subunit ribosomal RNA
Source: RNAcentral